CGCUCAUUGGUUUCGCUUUAAUCUCUACCUACCACCAACCUCCCCCCUUCCUUCGAAACCCUCAUCCAUCGACAUCAAAACCCUCUUCUCCUCCUCAUCCUUUAUCGUCGCACAUCGAUCGAUGUCGCCUCCUCCUCCCCUUCUCCGCAAAGAAGCGGCUCCCGAUUGGGCCGCGCUACCUCCCGAGCUCCUUGCCCUCGUCGCCGAACGCCUCCGUCACAGCGUCGACUAUGUUCGAUUCCGUUCCGUCUGUUCCCGCUGGCGCGCCGCCGCUCGACGCAUCCCCUUUCCGCCUCUCCUCGCCUUACCCUUCGACCCUGACGCCGCUGCCCUCCCCUUCUUCGAUCCCUCCGAGAUCGCCUCAUCCGCCGCGGUCCACUCGCUCCCCCUCCCCGAGGCCCGCCAUCAGGCCCUCCUCGGCUCCUCCCGCGGCUGGCUUUUCUUGAUCGACGAGGCUGGCUCCGUCUCCCUCCUAAAUCCCUUCACCCGCGCCAGGUUCUGCCUCCCGCCGGUCACCGAGAGUCUCGCCCGCGCCUCCAGCUUGAGCGUCUCCAAAGUCCGCGACCGCUGGGUGCUCGACCACAGAAACGGCAAGCACCCCGUCACGCUGUACCACAUGCGGAGCACUUUCAUUUCGGAGGCGACCCUCUCCUCCUCUCCGAGCGAGGGAGACGAAUGCGCCGUCAUCAUCGUGGCUGUUCUCGCUUCGUCCACUAAACUUGCUUUCUGCCGCAUCGGAGACCGUGAGUGGACUCUCUUCAAUACCGCCCUGCAUAACUUUGUCAGCUCCGUUGCAUACUGUGACGGUCGGUUCUAUGCCGUGGACGCAUUUGGAGAAGUUUGCGUCUGCGAUGUCGGUAUUUCCACACGCGCAACUUAUAUUUCGUCGCUGAUGGUGCCUCCUGAGCGUGACAGCUUCAGAAUUAUGGGGUUGAAGAAGGAACUGCUGCUGGUUGCUCAUUACAUGGACGGGGAUUUCCCACAUUUCAAGCAUCAUUACGAGAUUUAUAGGACUGAUAUUAAACGAAGGAUGAAGUGGUACCGUGUGGAUACCAUCGGUGGUAGGACAGUGUUCUUGUCCGUCCAUUUCAACUCAAAUGCCAUUGGAGGUGCAUUCUAUGGAUGCAAAAGCAACGCCAUGUAUUUCUCCGAGCCUAUUCGUGGUGGCCGUGAACCUUCCAGGUCUCAGAUUCACAAGAUGGCAGUAAUGGAUGUAACGAAUGGGUGUUUGGAGGUGAUAUCAUGUAAUUGUAACGUGCAAUUCUCAAGAGAGGUUUUCUGGUUUACUCCUUGUCUCUACUGACAAGGUUUCUUGGAUCAAGUCAAGGUAUGCUGGUGUUGAUGGAUGAGAGUGCCAGAGAUUCAUUCAUGAAUCCUUUCACCCAAGAACAACUUGAGCUGCUGCCAACAGAUGAGCAGUUAGCCUUGGCCUCAGGGAGGUAUGUGAUGAUGGUCUAAGAACACUGGAUUGUUCAUUCUAACCAUCCAUCACUGAUAAGCCAUGUCCAUCAAGCCUUCUGAGAUGUCUCACAUCUUCAUCAAGGAGGCCAUCCUUUCCCCAUCCCCAAAUUCAGGCUUUUUCAAUGGAAGAAGGAGCUUCUGAUGGUUGUUCUAAUGGUUCAAAUUGAGUAGGAACUUGAGAAUGGCCAUCACAGGUAUCACUACGAGAUCUACAAGUUGGGUAUGAUGGAUGAACUGACACGGUCCAGAAUGAAUAGUGUUUGUUGGUGAGGAGAUGUUGUUUGUGUCUCGGUAUUACAACUGUCAGUAUGUUGGAAAUGGGCUUCAUGGGUGCAGAGGAAACUGCACAUACUUUCCUUAGCCCUGGGAUUCUGCAUCUGGAGGUUGUUGAUUUGGUUGAUGGUAGCAAGCAAUUCAUAUCAACUCAUUGCACUGAAAAAAUGUUCCCAAUUUGUCUUGUGGUUCAAGCCUAGCCUACUAUAGCAAGGUAUUGACAUAUGCUCCCUAUGCUUGAUGUGCAUAUUUUAGUUUAUUGUUCCUAUUCAGUUUCUAAUUUCUUUCACAGUUUCACUGUACUGAUUCUUUUCCAUUUCAUCUGAAGUCAUCAUAGUUACAAUAAUCUUCUUUAUUAUUAACACCCAUCAUAGUCUCUAAUUUAAACUAAAGUUCUAUGCAAUUUCUAAGACAGCAGAAGAUACAUGCCUCAUGAUAAGAGUUAUAUACAUAGUAGUGGUAUGAUUAACAUAGUUCACUUUCAACUGUUAGCUUUCACCAAGUUUGGUUUCAGCACUUCUAUGUUAGUUGAUUUCAGCUAGAAGGGAAGCAGCUCAGUCACUUAGACUAGACUUAGCAUAGCAAUAAAACAGUUCUUUAAAGGACAUCUUGAAUUCUUGAUCAUAUUAUUUUUUGCCAAAGCCAAAAGCCUCAUUUGCCUAGGAAUUAUUUGGGUGUAAAGUUGCAAAUAUUGGUGGUCAAUUGAUCAUGAUUGCCAAUAAUAAGUGAUGUUGAGGAAGUGCGACUUGUUAUGUGAUAGAUAGUAUUUAGGUAAUCAGGCAUGACAAGAAGCCAGGUACCAGUGUAGAAAGAGAGAUUAAUAAGGAAACAACUGAAGUGGGAAGGUAAUUACAAACUUAGUUCAUGGAGGAAAAGCUGAAAAAGUUCAUAUAUAAGCUGCUUAAUAAGGUAUAUCAUGCCACUAUAAAGAACAGUGAGUUCUUUGUAUGUCCUAAGGGAAUCUACAUUAAUUUUUUUAGAUAAAAAAUCCAAAUUAGUGUUAGUUUCAGAGACAGAGCUAAGAUACUCAUUUUUCUUUGCCUCAAAGUUUUUGUCUAUCAGUGAUUUAAAAAGCGCUAGGCGCCAAGGUCUAAAAACGCCUGAGGCGUUAGGUGCUCGCCCGAGCAAAGCGAAACGCUAAAAUAUAAAAAUAUAUAAUAUAAUUAAUAAAUAUAAUUAUUUAAAAUUUUAAAUAAAAAUAUGCUAUUAAAUUAAGAAAAUCUAAGAUACAAAAUCACAAUGUCACAUUAACAAAAAGUUUCAAAAUUCAAAAUAAAAUUUUACAUCAAAGUCAUUCAUCAUAAUCAAUAUUAUCGUCAUAUUCACACAAAUCAUCUUCAUUGAAUUCGUCUUCUUCCUCUUGUCCUUCGACUCCUUCCUCUUCAUCAAGAUAUGUUUCAUUCUCUAUGUCUUCAAUAAUAGCAGGAGCCGAGCUUGAUGCUUUUGCACUCAUUUUUUUCUUUGACAUCUGUCUUGUAUAUGUUUGUAAUUCUCCAGCACCUAAAGCUCUUACAACAUCUCCUCAUGUCAAUCUAUUAUCUUCAAAUACAAGCUCGUCUUCAGCAUCUUAUAAGUUAGCACUCAUUUCUCCUACUAACCACUCAUUUGAAUCAUCAAUAUCUUGUAAUGAGAUUGAAUCAAAUCUAUUUUGCAAAUUAUAAUGAGCCUUCAAAGCUUGAUUAUACUUUAUGUAAACAAGAUCGUGCAAUCAUUGAUGUUCCAAUCGAUUUCUUUUCUUCGAGUGAAUCUGUCAUGUCAUAUAAUUUAAAAAUAUAUUAAUACAUCUAUCUAAAUAAAUAAAUAAAUUAAAACAAAAAUAUUUAGUGAUCCUUACAUGCUCAAAGACACUCCAGUUUCGCUCAUAACCCGAAGCACUACAUGUCAAACUAAGUACUUUGAUAGCAAAUUGCUGUAAGUUCGGGGUGAAAUUUCCAGAUAGACUCCACCAUUCAGUUGCAAAAUAUAUGUUAUUAUUAGCAACAACAUAGUAACAUAAUAUAUAUGAAAUUAAUUAUAUCAAAUUAUUAAUACCUAGAGACGUAGUUGUCUUGGAUCGAACGGUAAUUGGAAUUCCAAAAAGGUCUUCGGUAUUUUUAUAUAAAGAUAAUUCAUGAAUAAUCUUAUCUUGAACCUCAAGGCUGGGAACUAAUCUUGCAACGCACUGAUAUAACCCACCCAAAACUUCUGCAUCAAAUCCAACAGAUUUAAUCUUAUAAAAGAAUUCAUGGUUCAAAUAAUAUCCUGUUGCAUGUAAGGGACGAUGAAGUUGACAAUUUUAUCUUUCGUCAAUGAUUGUAAAAAUUUUCUCAUAUUUUUCUUCAUUUUCAUUAAAAGAUCUUUUAAUCGUCUCCUUUGUUCUAUCCAUAGCCUCAUAAAUAUAUCUCAUUGCAUGUUUAUUUUCAUUAUUCACCAACUGAAGGACUCGAACAAGAGGGCCCAUUGCCUUUAAUAUAUAAACUACAUGAUUCCAAAAGGAUGACAUUAAGAUGAUAUCAGCAGCCCUCUUGCCUUUUGCUUCUUUUGCCCAUUUGCUUGUCACCCAUUUCUCAGAGGUAAACAUGUUUCUCAGAGUAUGUUUUUGACGAUGCACGCUCUGUAAUGUUAAGAAUGAAGUAGCAAAUCGGGUGGCACCAUGUCUCACUAAUUCUUUAUUCCUUAUAAAUUCUCUCAUCAUAUUCAAAGCUCCAAUGUGAUUAUAAAGAAAUCCAACAACAAAAAUUGUCCUUUCUAAGGUUUUCUUGAUUUCUAAGAUCUUUUCAAUAUCCUCCAACAUUAAAUCAAUACAAUGUGCUGCACAUGGAGCCCAAUACAAGUGUUGUUUUUUUUAUUCAAGCAAUUUACCUGAGACAAAUGAUAACAAAAAUAAUAAGACUUAAGAGUUUAAUAUACUUAAUUGAAGAUAAAAUAAUUAGCAAAUUCAAAAGAUGAAUAUUACCAACUAAAACAUAGUUGCUUCCAUUGUCGGUUAUGAUUUGAACGACAUUUUGUUCUCCAAUUUCUUCCAUGAAGUUGUCAAGUAAAUCAUAUAUCUUGUCUCCAGAUUUUACAAAAGAUGAAGCAUCUAUUGACUUCACAAACAUAGUCCCUAAAGAACAAUUAACCAUAAAAUUAAUUAUACUCCUGCGCCUCGUGUCAGUCCAAACAUCUAUCAUAAUAGAGCAAUCAUGUGUUGCCCAUGAUUCUUUAUGACCCUUUAGUAAGUCAUUUGUAUAAUUCAACUCUUUUUGCAGCAAUAGAACUCGCAUCUCAUAAUAACUUGGAGGUUUUAAUCCUGCACCAUAUCUUCCAAUAGCUUCAAUCAUAUCCUUAAAACUGUCUAAACGAGUUGUACUAAGGGGAAGAUCAGCCUGAUAGAAGAAGCGAGCAAUGUGCUGAAUUGUUCUUCCUCUUAUUUCUUUAUCACAAGCAUCACUUAUAUUUGUUUGUCUAAAUUUUGAGCCUUCUGCUUGCCCUUAUUGUUUUUGGGAUCCUUGAAACAUAUAUAGAUCCAUUGGUCUUUUUUUAUCCUUCUUAGUACUCAUAACUUCUUUUCCUUUUUUGUCGUAUAUUUUUUUUCCACUUGGGUUAAUACUCAUAGAAUAAUCUUCUUCUUCAUCCUUGAGAUGUUCAACAUUGUUUUCUGGUAAAUUCCCGUAAGAUUCAUUCUUUUGUGUCUUCUUUUCAUUCAUAUAAUUCAGUAACUCUUCUUUUACCUCAGGUGGACAUUUUUUGCAAGCUGCUGCAUUCUUGAAAUUUCUUACUAGAUGUUGUUUUGCACGAAAAAUACCACCUCUAGUAGUCUUAUCGCAGAAUAUGCAAGUCACUGCAUUAGGAUCUUUCGGAUUCUUCAAAUAAUUAUACUUCCAUGUAGAAUCUUUUUUUGAUGCCAUUGGAGACUCUAUUGAGUUGCUCUGUACACUUGUUAUUUAUGUUGAAACCUAGCAAUAAUUUCGAAUAAAUAAAAAUUAACAGUAUUAAAAUCAAAAUAAUAUAUUAUUAAUCUAUUAACAGUAUUGAAAGUUAAUCAUUUCAAAUAAACUUAAUAAUAUUAACAGUAUACAGUAUACGUAUACUAUUAAAGGAAGUGUAAAGGGGUGCUGAGCCUGCUGACUGAGAAAAGAGGAUGCGACAGCGGCGAGCAAUGGGAGGCGCGAGCGGCGACAGCGACAGCGUUUGCGAGUAGCGACGACAGCAAGAGCAGGAGCAGGAGCGGCGAGCAGCGGGAGGCACGAGCGGUGACAGCGGUGAGCAGCGGGAUUGGGAUCAGGAUCGGGAUCGGUAGCGACGAGGGUUAGGGUUCGGUUGUCACUUAUAUCCGUUUUAGUUGGUUCGAUUGAACCAACUAACCAUUAUAGACCGAACUAGGACCGAACUAGACCUAAAAUCCUGGUUCGAUCGCCGUGGUUAACCCAGGCGCUCGCCCGAAGCGCCCAGCGCCUGGGCUCGGGCGAGCGCCCAAGCGACGCCUGUUUGAAGCGCGCCGCCUGGGAGAUUAGCGAGGCGCUCGGGCCUCGCCUCGCCUCGCCCGAGCGCCUUUUUAAAUCGCUGCUGUCUACAAUCAAAUUAUCUCUUUCUAUCUAGUAGUUAGUAGCUUGACAUUGUUUUUGUUUUUAUCUAUAAGAAUUCGAUUUCUGGGGAGCAUCUUGGAGGACAAUACUUCAUUGACGAAAAAUAUAAAAAAUCAUAACUUCAGUUCAUAAGAUAUUUUAAGUAACAAGCAUGUUUCUAAUGGUGCUUGCUUGAAGGGGUUUUGAGGUAAGGUUUGACAUCUACCAUGCAACUACUAAAGGUACUGUCAUGAUUGUUGCUGCAAAUAAAGAAAUUUUAGUGCUAUGAAGUGGAUAGAUAGAUAGAUGGAUAGAUAAAUAGAUAGAUUGAGAUGAACCAUAUUUUGGGGAGACAAUAUGAAACAUAAGAAAUAAAAUACUUGAUAAGUGAUAGGGGAAAUAUUUACCCCAAUCAUGACUUGACACGUGGCAACAUAGUUAGCAAGGAGAAAAUGGACCUGGGCCAACAACUAGGUCAUAUGGGCUUUAGUCCAAUAUAAAAUACCGAUGGAAUAUUUUGCCCAUGCUGUAGAAUAUCCAUAUGAACGGUUAAGACAAUUAUAAAAAGUCUACCAGGUCACAAUAAGGAAUGUUAGUUAACGUUUAUUCGAAACUCUCGUUUUCUAUUCCAGCACUAACUAGAGCAUCAAAGGGACUACGUUCGAAAUCCCACUUGGCGUCAGUCUUCAUACAGGUCGGUCAUCAGGUAGACGCCCAAGCCCCUCUAAGCCAUAGAUCAAGUGUUUGUGACUCCCUUACGACCACGUCAAAUUGAGCUGGACAUCACCAAUAUCCAACAUAUCAACGUCCAUACAUGAAAUAGUUUCUCCAACUAAUUCUAAAAGAGCUUUUAAUUCAUAAAAAAAGAUAAUAUUAAAUGGUAUUCAUUUUUUUUUUUGCAUCAUUUGGGAAUGUGGUUAAAAAUAUGAAAUAACACGAAUACAAGAUGAAACAAAUAAAAUGCAUUGCCCCAUGGAAUAUUUGUUACCUCAAGAGUGGAAAAUGUAACAAAAAUGAGCCCAUGAUAAAAAUUGAAUCAGAAUUAUAUGAUGCAAAACAUAGACAAAAAAGGUAAAUCAAAGCAUUAAAGAAAACAAAUAGACAUUACAUAAAUGUAGCUUCCUUGAAUAACUUGCUAGAACAUAUAAGGUGCUAGCCAAUAGAUCACAUUAGACGAGUUUGGGAACCAACCGCUAAACACAUUUUCGGUUGUACCAUACUCCAAGUGAACCAUGCUAAAAUAGUAUACCUUGCUCCUACGAUGAUAUGGGGAUGGAUGUAGUCGAGGAAUAUGGAUGUAAUUUCUACUUUCUACUAUAAUCCUCAUGUUGGCUAUGGAUGAUACAUGAGCUGUAGCACAACGAUAUGAACGGUGUGUUGUCGCCUAGGCUUGCUACUCUAGUCCAAUAAGGCGGCUAGUUUUGGGUGUAUCUAAACAGUAGGUAUGACCUCGUAACCUGAUUUUUGUUUGACACGAACAACUGUAGAUGAGUAGCUCUCCUUGCCAUUUCAACUAGCGAAAGAUGCAAAAGUUGCAAUGUACUUGCAGAGUCACAAUGAACCAGACACGAACAGGUGGGCUGACAUCGAGUAUUGCCACCCUCAUGAAAUCAGUUAGGUAGAACUUUUUGCUGCAAUACACGAUAAUCUGGAUGACAACGCCCAGGUCAAUUUCCAUGAUGGUCCAAGUCACGUCCCUUAGUCAGUAGAAAGCAACGUAGGUGGAGAAAGGUAGCGUGGCGAGGAUGAUGUCUCCAGUCCAAACGUAACCGAAGAAUGGAAAAGAUUUUUCCAACUUCAUCGUCCUUGCCAACCUAAUUCUUUAAGAGGACAAUCCAUAAAUAACUGAAGAAUGGAAAAGAUUUUUAAGGAGUCUCGGGUCUAAGAAGCAUGAUAAAUACCAUCAAAGCUUAGGAUGUAGAGGAAAUUAAAUAAAUUAAUCUAAUAUAGACUAUGAAAAUGUGUUUAUAACAUCUGUCAAGAUAUUUCAAUUGGGGACUAAGCUUCUAUUUUGUCAACUUUCAUAAUUUUUAAUAAUACUUGAACUAAGUCAUAUUAUCAUUUUUCAUCAAAAGUAUUGAUGAAAGUUGAUCUUAUUUUGUUAUACGUCUUCCAAAUCUAAUAUAAAUGUUACUUUUUCAUAUGGAUAGUAUCUCACAUGGGCCUAAAGUAUGAAUCUCAAUCAGCAAAAUCCCAUGAAAUUAUACUACCUCGACUUCAUUGCCAAUUAUAACAAGAAAUAUUGUCUUGGGUCCAUACAUAACCGAAGUAUGGAAAAGAUUUAUCUAUACAUAACCGAAGAAUGAAAAAGAUUUUUCUAGCUGCAUUGUCCUCGCCAACUUGCCUUUCUUCACCUGGGUUGCUUUUUGCUGAAUAGGGGACGUGAUCUGGAUCAUUGUGGAAAUUGGCUUGGGCGAUGUCGUCUAAACCGUCGUGUAUAGUAGCAGUAGGUUCUACUUGACUGAUUUCAUGAGUAUAGAAUCAGGUUAAGGAGUCAUACUGACUUUUUAGAUACACCCAGAAUUGGUCGUCUUAUUGGACCAGAGUCGUAAGCCUAGGCGAUAGCAUACUGUUCAUGUUGUAGUACUACAACUCUUGUAUCAUCCGCAACCAACAUGAGAGUUGCAAUAGAAAUUGCAUCUAUAUUUCUGGACUAGAUCCUUCUUCAUAUCGUUCUGAUAGCAAGGCUCACUAUUUCAACGUGGUUCACUUCAAGUAUGGUACAAUUGAAAAUGUGGUUUGCUGUUGGUUCCUGAACUCAUCUAAUGUGAUCUCUUAGCUAGCACCUAAUCUGUUUUAACAAUUUAUUCAAGAAAGCUGUAUUUAUAUAAUGUAUAUAUAUUUUAAUGCUUCAAUUUAUCUUUUUUGUCUAUAUUUUGCAGCUUAUGAUUCUGAUUCAUUUAUUUAUCGACUCUUUUCUGUUAUAUUUUUCACUAAUCAGGUAAUAUUCCAUAGGGCAAUGCAUUUUAUUUGUUGCUUUUUGUAUUCAUGUUGUUUCACAUUUUGAAUCACAUUCCUAGAUGAAGCAAAAGCUCUUUUAGAAUUGGUUGGACAUAAACUAUUUUAUGUAUGAAAGUUGAAUGUUGUCUUAAGGCCUAACAACAAAAGCUACUUGAACCUUAAUUGAAAAUUCCAAGUUGGAAAUAAAUAUCCAUGCCAAAUAUCCAUGUCAAAACCUUGAAAUUCUUUAGAUUUUUUUGAAGAAUGAGCUCAACUGAAAAAAAAAGAGGUAAUAAGUGGCUUUUGUCGUUUUCACUUGAAUACCUGAUAAAUUUUGUCAUGCCCACAUCAUAAAUUAUAAGAGUUAAAUCCAAGAUCUCUAGGUUCUAGAUGUGCUGACUGUUGUCGGGCACAAAAGCAUGGUACAACAUGGGAGGUGUGCCAAUGUAAGAAGCAUUAGCAAGGAGGCGUACAAACGUGACAUAGUAUAGACAAGACAACUUGAUAUAUUCAAGAAAAGUAACACAAGACUCGACAUGGACACGACAAUAAGUAUCUUCUAUAUGCUGCUAUAAUUUUUUAUGUGAAGAUGUAUUCUUUACCGGUUAGAAAAGUGAAUUGUUAUAAAUUUAGCAUAUAAAAAGCCCACAUAAAUAAAACAUAUUUAUAAAUAUACUUCAAAUGCAUGUAUAAAACAGUAAUGAGACAUACCUAUAAUAGCAAAACACAUAAAUAUUGCUAGUAUUUGACAUGUCUAAAAUUAUUUAGAUACACUUGUUCUAGUAUAGUUUCAAACUUGGCACAUAAUAGGAAGUAUAUGACAAGUAUUGGUUUCCGACAUAACUAAAACAUGUAUUGAGGUGUUUAUGCCUUAUAGGUGUCAGUAGAGGCUUAGACAGGAUUAUGGUUUGUUCCACCACCAAAGAGAUUGGACAUUGAUAGAAUCUAUCUUCUAAAAAGAAGGAAAAUAAUAUUUGCAUUCCUUGCACUUUUUGUUGCCCAUAUCUUCUCCUUUCUAAGUGAAAAGUAAUGGUGACCUGCCUAAGACAGGAGCGUUAUAACAUGUUGACAUAAAGACUGGAGAUCUAAGAGUUCUGUCAGCGGAGGGUAUAACUUUCCUGGACCGGAAGAUGAAUACUCCCGUCCUCUAGCCAAUUGAUCCUGUUGAGAAUAGUACUGGGGGGGACACAUUAGAGUGAAGGAUCUGAGGUAUCCUCUAUCACCACGAUGAGGUUGAUCCCUCCUUUAGUAGACUCUGCUAUGAAUGAAGAAAUGAAUGUCUCAUUCUGUAGGGCACUGCUAACCCCGAAGAAGGAUCACAUUUUAGGAAGUAUCUGACAAGUAUUGUUGUCAGACAUAACUAAAACAAGAAUUGAAGCAUAUUUAUGCUUUAUAGGUGCCAAUAGAGGGCUAGGCUGGAACAACUCUUAUAACUUAUGCCAAGUGUCAAGUACAACAUUAGCAUAUUAGGGGGAUGUGCUUUGCUUUGAUAUAGAAAAUCUGAGUAAGAUACAUCAUAUUCUUUACAUUUAGUAUCAUUAGCUUUUAAGCAUGCAAGGCUCCAAGUUAUUGUAUCAUUUAGCUUUUGACAUUGAUUGAUUCUAAUGGGUGGUUCAUAUGAUUUUUUCCUUCAUGGAUCAUGGCAUUUUUUAGCUGAUCCCUAAUAGUUGGGAUAUUAGGAGUUGUAUGGAACAUGUCGCUUUCUAGCAUAUGAGGAACUUUAGACUUAAUUGCACAUUUUCCUCUAGUAUAUGAAACAUAUGCAAUAUGACAUUUAAACCAAACUUUGUAAUAGUUUCUAACUUCUUUGAAUAAAGUGAGAAGCAGGAGCAGUCUGUUGUGGGGUUUCAGAGCAUGCUGAUUUCUGAUGCUAAAUUAUUCAUUGUAAAUGGACUUGCAGUAAAAUUAUUCAUAAUUUUUUAUUCAUAGUAAAAGAUUUGUAAAUCAUAUUUUAAUUUUACUUGUUUUUAACUAUUCUGAAUUGCAGUAAUUAUUUUUACAAUCUACAGUUUCAUUGUAAGCAAAACCUUCAGCAGGGAAAACUAGAAACAAGUAAAUAGAAUCAUUGCAGAUCCCUUGGUAUC
RNA transcript from Musa acuminata AAA Group (dessert banana), 11284 nucleotides. It is a transcript of the gene named F-box protein SKIP23-like, with no coding region annotated. The transcript has 3 exons. The record is from RefSeq and is a predicted model, not a curated record. Lineage: Eukaryota; Viridiplantae; Streptophyta; Magnoliopsida; Zingiberales; Musaceae.